This 253-nucleotide ribosomal RNA is filed under the name uncultured bacterium. Its description in RNAcentral is "partial 16S ribosomal RNA". It matches the Rfam family "Bacterial small subunit ribosomal RNA", at positions 524 to 776 of the family's 1533-position model. The record is from RNAcentral.
AACGUAGGUUCCGAGCGUUAUCCGGAUUUACUGGGCGUAAAGCGCGUUCAGGCGGUUUGGCAAGUCGGGCCUGAAAUCUCUCGGCUCAACCGGGAGAGGUUGUCCGAUACUUCCAGACUUGAGGGCAGUAGAGGGUGGUGGAAUUCCGGGUGUAGUGGUGAAAUGCGUAGAUAUCCGGAGGAACACCAGUGGCGAAAGCGGCCACCUGGACUGCACCUGACGCUGACACGCGAAAGCUAGGGGAGCGAACGGG